Non-coding RNA from Myotis lucifugus (little brown bat), 73 nucleotides. The record is from Rfam. Lineage: Eukaryota; Metazoa; Chordata; Mammalia; Chiroptera; Vespertilionidae.
GCCAGUGUGGCUCAGUGGAUAGAGCGCCGGCCUUUGGUCUGAAGGGUCCCGGGUUCGAUUCCCGGUCAGGGCA